UACGUAGGGGGCAAGCGUUGUCCGGAAUCAUUGGGCGUAAAGAGCGUGUAGGCGGCCCGGUCAGUCCGCCGUGAAAGUCCAGGGCUCAACCCUGGAAUGCCGGUGGAUACUGCCUGGCUGGAGUCCGGAAGAGGCGAGUGGAAUUCCUGGUGUAGCGGUGAAAUGCGCAGAUAUCAGGAGGAACACCAAUGGCGAAGGCAGCUCGCUGGGACGGUACUGACGCUGAGACGCGAAAGCGUGGGGAGCAAACAGG
RNAcentral lists this ribosomal RNA (253 nucleotides) under uncultured bacterium. RNAcentral's name for it is "partial 16S ribosomal RNA". It matches the Rfam family "Bacterial small subunit ribosomal RNA", at positions 524 to 776 of the family's 1533-position model. The record is from RNAcentral.